AGCCACUGCUAUCCGGCUGGGCCUAAGCCAUGCGAGUCGUGAGGCCCUCCCCUUAUGGGGAGGGGGCCCUCGGCGGGCGGCUGAGUAACACGUGGCCAACCUACCCUCGGGAGGGGGAUAACCCCGGGAAACUGGGGCUAAUACCCCAUAGGCGGAGAGGUCUGGAAGGAUCCUCCGCCGAAAGGCCCCGUAAGGGGCGCCCGAGGAUGGGGCUGCGGCCGAUUAGGUAGUUGGUGGGGUAACGGCCCACCAAGCCGACGAUCGGUAGGGGCGCUGAGAGGCGUAGCCCCCAGAUGGCCCCUGAGACACGGGGCCAGGCCCUACGGGGCGCAGCAGGCGCGAAACCUCCGCAAUGCGCGAAAGCGCGACGGGGUCAGCCGGAGUGCCGGUGGGCUUCGGUUCACCGGCUUUUGGGGAGUGUAAAAAGCUCCCCGAAUAAGGGCUGGGUAAGGCCGGUGGCAGCCGCCGCGGUAAUACCGGCAGCCCGAGUGGUGGUCGCUAUUAUUGGGCCUAAAGCGGCCGUAGCCGGGCUGGUAAGUCCCCGUGUAAACCCUGCCGCUUAACGGCAGGAUCUGCGGGGAUACUGCCAGCCUUGGGACCGGGAGACGCGGGGGGUACUCCCGGGGUAGGGGUGAAAUCCUGUAAUUCCGGGGGGACCGCCGGUGGCGAAGGCGCCCCGCGAGAACGGGUCCGACGGUGAGGGCCGAAAGCCGGGGGAGCGAACCGGAUUAGAUACCCGGGUAGUCCCGGCCGUAAACGCUGCGGGCUAGGUGUUGCGUCCGCUUAGAGCGGACGCAGUGCCGGAGGGAAGCCGUUAAGCCCGCCGCCUGGGAAGUACGCCCGCAAGGGUGAAACUUAGAGGAAUUGGCGGGGGAGCACACAAGGGGUGGAGUCUGCGGUUCAAUUGGAUUCAACGCCGGGAAUCUUACCGGGGGCGACGGCAGGAUGAAGGCCAGGCUGAAGGUCUUGCCGGACGAGCCGAGAGGAGGUGCAUGGCCACCGUCAGCUCGUACCGUGAGGCGUCCUGUUAAGUCAGGCAACGAGCGAGACCCGCGCCCCUAGUUGCCAGCGGGCCCGUAA
This 1080-nucleotide ribosomal RNA is filed under the name uncultured archaeon. RNAcentral describes it as "partial 16S rRNA". It matches the Rfam family "Archaeal small subunit ribosomal RNA", at positions 21 to 1081 of the family's 1478-position model. The record is from RNAcentral.